GAAAAUGUGCCCGAAAAUUAGGGACCUCCUUGAUAGGGAGACUCAUAGAGGUGUAAACCCUCUCAUUUUCU
Molecule: transfer RNA, 71 nt
Filed under: Phrynoderma hexadactylum (Indian five-fingered frog)
Lineage: Eukaryota; Metazoa; Chordata; Amphibia; Anura; Dicroglossidae
Description: tRNA-Ile
Source: RNAcentral